This 479-nucleotide ribosomal RNA is filed under the name uncultured bacterium. RNAcentral describes it as "partial 16S ribosomal RNA". It matches the Rfam family "Bacterial small subunit ribosomal RNA", at positions 28 to 507 of the family's 1533-position model. The record is from RNAcentral.
GAUGAAUGCUGGCGGCGUGCUUAACACAUGCAAGUCGAGCGAGAAGUUUUGAAAAGAUUCUUCGGAUGAAAUUUAAAAUGGAAAGCGGCGGACGGGUGAGUAACGCGUAGGCAACCUGCCCCAUACAAAGGGAUAGCAUUUGGAAACGAAUAUUAAUACCUUAUGAAACUUAACUAGUGCAUGCUAGGUAGGUCAAAGAUUUAUCGGUAUGGGAUGGGCCUGCGUCUGAUUAGCUAGUUGGUGAGGUAACGGCUCACCAAGGCGACGAUCAGUAGCCGACCUGAGAGGGUGAACGGCCACAUUGGAACUGAGACACGGUCCAAACUCCUACGGGAGGCAGCAGUGGGGAAUAGUGCACAAUGGGGGAAACCCUGAUGCAGCAACGCCGCGUGAACGAGGAAGGCCUUUGGGUCGUAAAGUUCUGUUCUAGGUGAUGAAAACUGACAGUAACCUAGGAGAAAGCCCCGGCUAACUCCGUG